Pseudopipra pipra is the source of this 1759-nucleotide long non-coding RNA. RefSeq lists it as uncharacterized. Lineage: Eukaryota; Metazoa; Chordata; Aves; Passeriformes; Pipridae. The record is from RefSeq and is a predicted model, not a curated record. The transcript is spliced from 2 exons.
ACGACAAAGGCUGUGGUUGCAGCUUUAGAAUGCUUUGUGAAUAAUGUAAAACUUAUGUUACACAAAAAUAAUUAAUAAAACUACCAUAGGGAAAAAAAUUUUACAUGUUUAUUCAUUUAUUUUAGCUUCCUUUGCUUUUAACAACCAUAGAUUGUAAAUAGUUCACUGCACAGAGCAUGGGUUAGGCUGAUAAAUUCAUGGGUUUGUCAUAGGGAAAAUAUUAAACUUUAUGCCUUGUCAUAGAUUAAUAGGAAAACCAUAUUAAUACUAUGCAGAAAAUUUAUAUAAUUUCAGAGGCAUGCUUAGACGAAAAACAGAAUAAAGUAAGAGUUUACAUGGGAAAAGAGGAGCAAUACAAUGUUGAGACAUCUUGAAACUCCACUAUGGUAAAAGAGAACCCCAUAUUAUACUGGGUAUAUAUAUGGUAGUACAUACAUUCUUAAAAGAAAAGGCAUUAAAUCUUCAUAUGUUUUCCAUAUGAUUUAACUCCCUAAAUACAGAACUGUUUGUUAUCCAAGAUAAUUACCCUAGGUUCUUUGUAUAUUUAGAGAAAUAGACAUUUUUUGAAGGUGUUUUUCACUCAGUCUCAAAUUUAAAGAUGAAAUUGUCUUCUGCAUUUUUGUGGAAUAAUCUGCCCCAAUAAGGUCAAUCUCACAUUUUGCGUGGACCUGUGGGUUGAGUGAUGAUCUGUUCUGGACAUAUAUUUUUUGCACAAGACAUUAGAAAGUGUUAAAUAAGUCAGUGGUAAAGAACAAUAACAAACCACAGGGAAUUGUUUUUUUUCUAGAUGCAGGAACAAAGAAUUAGUCCUUGUUUGUAUAUAGAUACCUUAAAAAUUGCAAAUGACUCAGAAGACAAAAGAACAUCAUAUUUUCUAUUGCAAAGACCUCAAUGGAAAAGACCUCAAUGUGGCAAAAACUGAAUUCCAUAUGACUGAAAAAUAUAGCUCAGUAUUUCCUAAAUUAAGAUGCAUGUUUUACACAUAAUUUCUCUGUAAAGACUUCUCAUUUUUCUUUUUGGAAUUCAUAAGCAUAGCAUAAUAGCUUUUUCUUUUUUAGUCACUUUGAAGUAAUACAUGGUCCAGCAUGUAUUUUAUCUCUAUUUCUUUCUACUCUAUCUCUGUGAUAUUUAAUAUUUUCAUCUCUUGCUUUCAACAUUGCUGUUCUAGGAGUACUAUCACGCUAAGCUUCAUCAGUUGAAGUAAUAAUCAUAUAAUCAGCAAUUUUAUCUCCUCUGGAAGUAUCGUCAAGUGCCUCAUAACUCUCUUUCUGCAAUAUUUCACUGGCAUAUUUAAUCUCAAAUGUUAAUCUAGAAAACUGAUAAUAUCCUCCUGGAGAUUUAGAGGUACCUAAAAAGAGAUGUACCUAUCUAAUUUCACAUACCAGGCUCCAUCUUUCUUAUCUGAAAUUGUAACAAGUUGCUCAAUUUUUAAUUGAUGUCACAAAUCUUCUGAUGUCAAUCCUGAGCAGUGGUAAUAGGUAUGGUGCCAUUUAACCUUCUGGUGUUAAACAUACUGAGUCUUUCUUUGUUCUUUGCUUUUUACUACUCUAGUCAAUGUGCUGAAGCAUUCUCUUAUAAUAUCAACUUUCCCUCUUCUUUACUGGCUAAGGCCUCCUGGUUGCCCCAGCAUGACUGAUAUGACAACUGAGGACACAGAAUAAACUAUAACUAUGCAAGAGUAUAGCGACUCUGUGGAGCUCAAUAUUGUUAACUAUCCGCAUUUCACUCUUUAUUAAGAAUUUACCUUUGCUCUCCCUCA